GCAAGUCGUGCGGGAAGUGGGGGCAACUCCAUGAGUACAGCGGCGCACGGGUGAGUAACACGUAGGUAACCUACCUUCGAGCCCGGGAUAACCUGUCGAAAGACGGGCUAAUACCAGAUAAGACCACGGAGGUUGCGACUUCCGGGGUAAAAGGUGGCCUCUGCUUGCAAGCUACCGCUUGAGGAUGGGCCUGCGCGCCAUUAGCUAGUUGGCGGGGUAAUGGCCCACCAAGGCAAAGAUGGCUAGCUGGUCUGAGAGGAUGACCAGCCACACUGGGACUGAGACACGGCCCAGACUCCUACGGGAGGCAGCAGUGGGGAAUAUUGCGCAAUGGGCGAAAGCCUGACGCAGCGACGCCGCGUGGGUGAUGAAGGCCUUCGGGUCGUAAAGCCCUGUCGGGGGGGACGAAACCUCGGCGACCUAAUAUGUCGUCGACCUGACGGUACCUCCGAAGGAAGCACCGGCUAACUCCGUGCCAGCAGCCGCGGUAAUACGGAGGGUGCGAGCGUUGUUCGGAAUCACUGGGCGUAAAGCGCGUGUAGGCGGCCUUGUAAGUCUGAUGUGAAAGCCCGGGGCUUACCCCCGGAAGUGCAUUGGAAACUGCGAGGCUAGAGUACCGGAGAGGAAGGU
Molecule: ribosomal RNA, 630 nt
Filed under: uncultured delta proteobacterium
Lineage: Bacteria; Deltaproteobacteria
Description: bacterial SSU rRNA
Rfam family: Bacterial small subunit ribosomal RNA
Source: RNAcentral